This 770-nucleotide ribosomal RNA is filed under the name Salmonella enterica subsp. enterica serovar Infantis. RNAcentral's name for it is "partial 23S ribosomal RNA". It matches the Rfam family "Bacterial large subunit ribosomal RNA", at positions 2033 to 2802 of the family's 2925-position model. The record is from RNAcentral. RNAcentral also lists the same sequence under 2 other names. Lineage: Bacteria; Pseudomonadati; Pseudomonadota; Gammaproteobacteria; Enterobacterales; Enterobacteriaceae.
UCAGUGAAAUUGAACUCGCUGUGAAGAUGCAGUGUACCCGCGGCAAGACGGAAAGACCCCGUGAACCUUUACUAUAGCUUGACACUGAACAUUGAGCCUUGAUGUGUAGGAUAGGUGGGAGGCUUUGAAGCGUGGACGCCAGUCUGCGUGGAGCCGACCUUGAAAUACCACCCUUUAAUGUUUGAUGUUCUAACGUGGACCCGUAAUCCGGGUUGCGGACAGUGUCUGGUGGGUAGUUUGACUGGGGCGGUCUCCUCCUAAAGAGUAACGGAGGAGCACGAAGGUUGGCUAAUCCUGGUCGGACAUCAGGAGGUUAGUGCAAUGGCAUAAGCCAGCUUGACUGCGAGCGUGACGGCGCGAGCAGGUGCGAAAGCAGGUCAUAGUGAUCCGGUGGUUCUGAAUGGAAGGGCCAUCGCUCAACGGAUAAAAGGUACUCCGGGGAUAACAGGCUGAUACCGCCCAAGAGUUCAUAUCGACGGCGGUGUUUGGCACCUCGAUGUCGGCUCAUCACAUCCUGGGGCUGAAGUAGGUCCCAAGGGUAUGGCUGUUCGCCAUUUAAAGUGGUACGCGAGCUGGGUUUAGAACGUCGUGAGACAGUUCGGUCCCUAUCUGCCGUGGGCGCUGGAGAACUGAGGGGGGCUGCUCCUAGUACGAGAGGACCGGAGUGGACGCAUCACUGGUGUUCGGGUUGUCAUGCCAAUGGCACUGCCCGGUAGCUAAAUGCGGAAGAGAUAAGUGCUGAAAGCAUCUAAGCACGAAACUUGCCCCGA